CGGCGGACGGGUGAGUAACACGUGGAUAACCUACCUAUAAGACUGGGAUAACUUCGGGAAACCGGAGCUAAUACCGGAUAAUAUAUUGAACCGCAUGGUUCAAUAGUGAAAGACGGUUUUGCUGUCACUUAUAGAUGGAUCCGCGCCGCAUUAGCUAGUUGGUAAGGUAACGGCUUACCAAGGCAACGAUGCGUAGCCGACCUGAGAGGGUGAUCGGCCACACUGGAACUGAGACACGGUCCAGACUCCUACGGGAGGCAGCAGUG
Molecule: ribosomal RNA, 266 nt
Filed under: uncultured Staphylococcus sp.
Lineage: Bacteria; Bacillati; Bacillota; Bacilli; Caryophanales; Staphylococcaceae
Description: partial 16S ribosomal RNA
Rfam family: Bacterial small subunit ribosomal RNA
Source: RNAcentral